Long non-coding RNA from Aphidius gifuensis, 809 nucleotides. RefSeq lists it as uncharacterized. The transcript has 4 exons. The record is from RefSeq and is a predicted model, not a curated record. NCBI's taxonomy places the organism in Eukaryota, Metazoa, Arthropoda, Insecta, Hymenoptera, Braconidae.
CUUUUAUUUUUGCAUAAUAAUCGUUUAAAGUUAUAAAUUGUUGUUAAAUCGCUCAAUUAAAUUGUUGUGAAAAGAUUGUGUUACAAAUAUCACUAAUUUUUGUGAAUUUUGUCAAAAAUUAAUGGACUUGUCAAUGGAAAAUCGUAAUUUUGUUAUAAAAUAUAAACAAAUGAUAGUGAAAAUUAUCGUUUGAACGUCUAAGAAAAAACUGGAACAUAGAAAAAAAUGACUCAAUUGGAUUGUCAUUCGAGACAAAAUUAUUUUUGAGUAAAUUGCUACCUAAUUUAUUCAUGAUAGAAAAACUAAUCUUGUUGAAGUAUCCAAAAGUUUCAAUGAUGUAGAAAAUUAUAAAACAUAACACUUUUAAAAAAAAGUUACUGCGCAGUUUAAAACCAUUGAGACAAUUGAGGCUACUUGUAUGCUAAAAUAUAACAUGAAACAUACAAAGUAAAAGAUGAUAUUGUUGAAAGUGUCAUAAUGUACUUGGAUUUUAAUUUGUCUUUCCAAGUGCUAAAAAGUAAGAGUAAGAAACAAGGAUGGGCAGAAAUUACAAGAUCUUGGAUAUACUUAUUGAACGAAAAGAAAGAUAUGCUUGGAUAUUUUAAAGUUGAACAAACACUAGUUCGUUUACAAUCCCGAAUGUCCACAAGUAAACGAUAAUUAUUAUUAUUUAUUCGUUUGUUUUUGUCAUAUAAGAUUAAAUUGUCGAUAAAAUGUGAUUGUCAUUCACAAAUUUGUGGGUAUCAAUAGAAAAUUUUAAGUAUAAUAAAAAAAUAUAAAAAUAAUUUUCAAAACCUGUAAUAACAAUA